Molecule: ribosomal RNA, 689 nt
Filed under: Escherichia coli O157:H7 str. 1044
Lineage: Bacteria; Pseudomonadati; Pseudomonadota; Gammaproteobacteria; Enterobacterales; Enterobacteriaceae
Description: SSU rRNA
Rfam family: Bacterial small subunit ribosomal RNA
Source: RNAcentral
UUCCGGAGCUAACGCGUUAAGUCGACCGCCUGGGGAGUACGGCCGCAAGGUUAAAACUCAAAUGAAUUGACGGGGGCCCGCACAAGCGGUGGAGCAUGUGGUUUAAUUCGAUGCAACGCGAAGAACCUUACCUGGUCUUGACAUCCACAGAACUUUCCAGAGAUGGAUUGGUGCCUUCGGGAACUGUGAGACAGGUGCUGCAUGGCUGUCGUCAGCUCGUGUUGUGAAAUGUUGGGUUAAGUCCCGCAACGAGCGCAACCCUUAUCCUUUGUUGCCAGCGGUCCGGCCGGGAACUCAAAGGAGACUGCCAGUGAUAAACUGGAGGAAGGUGGGGAUGACGUCAAGUCAUCAUGGCCCUUACGACCAGGGCUACACACGUGCUACAAUGGCGCAUACAAAGAGAAGCGACCUCGCGAGAGCAAGCGGACCUCAUAAAGUGCGUCGUAGUCCGGAUUGGAGUCUGCAACUCGACUCCAUGAAGUCGGAAUCGCUAGUAAUCGUGGAUCAGAAUGCCACGGUGAAUACGUUCCCGGGCCUUGUACACACCGCCCGUCACACCAUGGGAGUGGGUUGCAAAAGAAGUAGGUAGCUUAACCUUCGGGAGGGCGCUUACCACUUUGUGAUUCAUGACUGGGGUGAAGUCGUAACAAGGUAACCGUAGGGGAACCUGCGGUUGGAUCACCUCCUUA